RNAcentral lists this ribosomal RNA (463 nucleotides) under uncultured bacterium. RNAcentral describes it as "partial 16S ribosomal RNA". It matches the Rfam family "Bacterial small subunit ribosomal RNA", at positions 30 to 507 of the family's 1533-position model. The record is from RNAcentral.
CGAACGCUGGCGGCGUGCUUAACACAUGCAAGUCGAACGGAAAGGCCCCUUUGGGGGUACUCGAGUGGCGAACGGGUGAGUAACACGUGAGUAACCUGCCCUUGACUUCGGGAUAACUUCAGGAAACUGGGGCCAAUACCGGAUAGGAAUCCUUGCUGCAUGGUGGGGGUUGGAAAGCUUCGGCGGUUUUGGAUGGACUCGCGGCUUAUCAGCUUGUUGGUGGGGUAGUGGCUUACCAAGGCUUUGACGGGUAGCCGGCCUGAGAGGGCGACCGGCCACAUUGGGACUGAGAUACGGCCCAGACUCCUACGGGAGGCAGCAGUGGGGAAUAUUGCACAAUGGGCGGAAGCCUGAUGCAGCAACGCCGCGUGCGGGAGGACGGCCUUCGGGUUGUAAACCGCUUUCAGCAGGGGCGAAGCUUGUGGUGACGGUACCUGCAGAAGAAGCACCGGCUAACUACGUG